This 469-nucleotide ribosomal RNA is filed under the name uncultured microorganism. RNAcentral's name for it is "bacterial SSU rRNA". It matches the Rfam family "Bacterial small subunit ribosomal RNA", at positions 9 to 524 of the family's 1533-position model. The record is from RNAcentral.
GAGUUUGAUCGUGGCUCAGAACGAACGCUGGCGGCAUGCCUAACACAUGCAAGUCGAACGAGAUCUUCGGAUCUAGUGGCGCACGGGUGCGUAACGCGUGGGAAUCUGCCCUUGGGUGCGGAAUAACUUCUCGAAAGGGAUGCUAAUACCGCAUAAUGUCGUAAGACCAAAGAUUUAUCGCCCAAGGAUGAGCCCGCGUAAGAUUAGCUAGUUGGUGGGGUAAAAGCCUACCAAGGCGACGAUCUUUAGCUGGUCUGAGAGGAUGAUCAGCCACACUGGGACUGAGACACGGCCCAGACUCCUACGGGAGGCAGCAGUGGGGAAUAUUGGACAAUGGGCGAAAGCCUGAUCCAGCAAUGCCGCGUGAGUGAUGAAGGCCCUAGGGUUGUAAAGCUCUUUUACCCGGGAUGAUAAUGACAGUACCGGGAGAAUAAGCUCCGGCUAACUCCGUGCCAGCCGCCGCCGUAAG